This is a long non-coding RNA of Choloepus didactylus (southern two-toed sloth), 339 nucleotides long. RefSeq lists it as uncharacterized. The record is from RefSeq and is a predicted model, not a curated record. The transcript is spliced from 3 exons. Lineage: Eukaryota; Metazoa; Chordata; Mammalia; Pilosa; Megalonychidae.
GCAAGUUUCCUCACCUCCCCAAGUCUCGAUUUCCUCACCUGCACAAUGACGAUGGUGGGGAAACUGAGGCUGGGAGAGAGGGGUGCCCCACACUGGGGUUAGCCAGCAGUGUGGAUCUGAUCGUGCAGAACCUGCGCUCAGCUCCAGCCCCAUACCAGCACUGAGCACCUCCCCAGGGCCAGGCACCCACUGGGAGCCAGGGAUCCACAGGCACUUACACAACCCGUGAAGCAGGCGCUAUUUGGAAGCCCAGUUUACAGAGGAGAGGACCAGGCAGGAACCGGUUAAGCUACUCAGUCGGGACUGGGAUUUGAACCCACAAGCUGAUUUGACAGCCCC